CCUACGGGGGGCAGCAGUGGGGAAUAUUGGACAAUGGGGGCAACCCUGAUCCAGCCAUGCCGCGUGUGUGAAGAAGGCCCUCGGGUUGUAAAGCACUUUCAGUGAGGAAGAACGCCUGGUGGUUAAUACCCAUCAGGAAAGACAUCACUCACAGAAGAAGCACCGGCUAACUCCGUGCCAGCAGCCGCGGUAAUACGGAGGGUGCGAGCGUUAAUCGGAAUUACUGGGCGUAAAGCGCGCGUAGGUGGCUUGAUAAGCCGGUUGUGAAAGCCCCGGGCUCAACCUGGGAACGGCAUCCGGAACUGUCAAGCUAGAGUGCAGGAGAGGAAGGUAGAAUUCCCGGUGUAGCGGUGAAAUGCGUAGAGAUCGGGAGGAAUACCAGUGGCGAAGGCGGCCUUCUGGACUGGCACUGACACUGAGGUGCGAAAGCGUGGGUAGCAAACAGGAUUAGAUACCCGUGUAGUC
Molecule: ribosomal RNA, 465 nt
Filed under: Vreelandella stevensii
Lineage: Bacteria; Pseudomonadati; Pseudomonadota; Gammaproteobacteria; Oceanospirillales; Halomonadaceae
Description: partial 16S ribosomal RNA
Rfam family: Bacterial small subunit ribosomal RNA
Source: RNAcentral